Long non-coding RNA from Coturnix japonica (Japanese quail), 1746 nucleotides. The record is from Ensembl. Lineage: Eukaryota; Metazoa; Chordata; Aves; Galliformes; Phasianidae.
CUUCCCCUCAUAUCUGCCCACACCCCCCAUAUCCCCCCCACCCAUCUGACCCCCCCCCCCAUAUCCCCCCCACCUCGGCUCCAUCCUCUCCCCCCCCCCGCAUCCCCCACGGGGUUCCAACAGGUUCAGGGGCGUUCCAGGCCAAACCAGCUCCACGGGCAGCCUGUGGGGAGAGUCACAAGGUCAGGCACAAGGUCAGGGUCACAGGCAGCAGGUUCAAGGUCAGGGGUCAAGUCAUGGUAGGUCCACUUAGGGUCAGGGUCAGAGGUUACAAGGUCAGGGGUCACAAGGUCAGGGGUCACAAGGUCAGGGGUCAGGGGUCACAAGGUCAGGGGUCACAAGGUCAGGGGUCAGGGGUCACAAGGUCAGGAGUCACAAGAUCAUGGGAUCAUAGGUCACAAGGUCAGGGGUCACAAGGUCAUGGGUCACAGGUCACAAGGUCAGGGGUCACGAGGUCAGGGGGUCAGAGGUCACGAGGUCAAGGGAUUAGGGUUAGGGGUCAUGGGGGCAGAAGGGAACAAGAGAGGAUGGGGUUAAAGGUUAAAGGGUCAGGGGUCACGGGGUCAGGAGGUGGGGUCAAGGGUCACAGGGUCAGAGUUCACAAGGUCAGGAUGUGGGGUCAAGGGGUCACGGGGUCAGAGGUCACAAGGGGGAGGUCAAAGGUCACCUUUCGGCCACGCUCAGUGCCUGGCCGCCAUCUUGGCCCCACACGGAGGCGGCUGCGACGUGGGGCAGCUGGGAGCUGAGGGACACGGCGUCAGUGGGGCAGCGGAUGGGGAGCAGAACCAAUAGGGGACCCAUAACCUACAAUGGGGCAGGGGAUCCUAUAGGGCCGGACCCAUAGCGCCACGGCCACAUAGGAAUCCCAUAGCCCUAUAGGAACAACACCCUGCCCCAUAGACACAGCGUCAGUGGGGCAGCGGAUGGGGAGCAGAACCAAUAGGGGACCCAUAACCUGGUGUGGGACACACGACCCUAUAGACCUAUAGGAACAACACCCUGCCCCAUAGCCAUAUAGGAAUCCCGCAGCCCUAUAGGGCCUGCCCCAUAGCACUACAGCCCUAUAGGAAUCCCACAGCCUUAUAGGGCCUGCCCCAUAGCACCACAACCCUAUAGGAACAACACCCUGCCCCAUAGCCAUAUAGGAAUCCCACAGCCCUAUAGGAACAACACCCUGCCCCACAGCCCUAUAGGAAUCCCACAGCCCUAUAGGAACUGCCCCACAGCCCCAAAGGACCUGCCCCAUAGCCCUAUAGGAACAACCCCCUGCCCCAUAGACACAGCGUCAGUGGGGCAGCGGAUGGGGAGCAGAACCAAUAGGGGACCCAUAACCUGAUGUGGGGCAGGGGAUCCUAUAGGGCCUGACCCAUAGCGCCACGGCCCUAUAGGAACAACCCCCUGCCCCACAGCCCUAUAGGACCUGCCCCAUAGCCAUAUAGGAACAACCCCCCUGCCCUAUAGCCAUAUAGGAACCCCCCCACAGCCCCAUAGACACAGCGUAAGUGGGGCAGCGGAUGGGGAGCAGAACCAAUAGGGGACCCAUAACCUGAUGUGGGGCAGGGGAUCCUAUAGGGCCUGACCCAUAGCGCCACGGCCACAUAGGAAUCACACAGCCCCAUAGGAAUCCCACAGCCCCAUAGCCCUAUAGGAAUCACACAGCCCCAUAGCCCUAUAGGAAUCACACAGCCCCAUAGCCCUAUAGGAAUCACACAGCCCCAUAGGAAUCACACAGCCCCAUAGCCCUAU